This 73-nucleotide transfer RNA is filed under the name Cordylochernes scorpioides. RNAcentral describes it as "tRNA-Thr". It matches the Rfam family "tRNA". Rfam says of the family: Transfer RNA (tRNA) molecules are approximately 80 nucleotides in length. Their secondary structure includes four short double-helical elements and three loops (D, anti-codon, and T loops). Lineage: Eukaryota; Metazoa; Arthropoda; Arachnida; Pseudoscorpiones; Chernetidae. The record is from RNAcentral.
UCCAAGGAAGCCUAGUGGACAUGGCAUCUGCCUGGUAAACGGUACACUGUGGGUUCGAUCCCCAUCCCUGGAU